This 81-nucleotide transfer RNA is filed under the name Dreissena polymorpha. It matches the Rfam family "tRNA". Rfam says of the family: Transfer RNA (tRNA) molecules are approximately 80 nucleotides in length. Their secondary structure includes four short double-helical elements and three loops (D, anti-codon, and T loops). Lineage: Eukaryota; Metazoa; Mollusca; Bivalvia; Myida; Dreissenidae. The record is from Rfam by way of RNAcentral.
GUUGUCGUGGCCGAGUGGUUAGACGAUGGACUUCAGAUCUUUUGGGAUCUUCCCACGCAGGUUCGAAUCCUGCCGACAUCG